Molecule: ribosomal RNA, 509 nt
Filed under: uncultured bacterium
Lineage: Bacteria
Description: bacterial SSU rRNA
Rfam family: Bacterial small subunit ribosomal RNA
Source: RNAcentral
GAUCAUGGCUCAGGAUGAACGCUAGCGACAGGCCUAACACAUGCAAGGUCGAGGGGCAGCGCGGAGUAGCAAUACUUGGCGGCGACCGGCGCACGGGUGAGUAACACGUAUGCAACCAACCCAGUAACAGGGGGGAUAACCCGGAGAAAUCCGGACUAAUACCGCAUAAGACCACGAUAUCGCAUGAUAUAGAGGUCAAAUAUUUAUAGGUUAUGGACGGGCAUGCGUCUGAUUAGCUGGUGGCGGGGUAACGCCACCAAGGCAUCGAUCAGUAGGGGUUCUGAGAGGAAGGUCCCCCACAUUGGAACUGAGACACGGUCCAAACUCCUACGGGAGGCAGCAGUGAGGAAUAUUGGUCAAUGGGCGAAAGCCUGAACCAGCCAUGUCGCGUGAAGGAUAGAAGGUCCUAUGGAUUGUAAACUUCUUUGCAGGAGGGUAAAGUGAGCUACGUGUAGUUCAUUGCAAGUACCCUGCGAAUAAGCAUCGGCUAACUCCGUGCCAGCAGCAGC